AUUGAACGCUGGCGGCAUGCUUUACACAUGCAAGUCGAACGGCAGCGCGGGCUUCGGCCUGGCGGCGAGUGGCGAACGGGUGAGUAAUACAUCGGAACGUGCCCAGUAGUGGGGGAUAGCUCGGCGAAAGCCGGAUUAAUACCGCAUACGACCUGAGGGUGAAAGCGGGGGAUCUUCGGACCUCGCGCUAUUGGAGCGGCCGAUGGCAGAUUAGCUAGUUGGUGGGGUAAAGGCCUACCAAGGCGGCGAUCUGUAGCUGGUCUGAGAGGACGACCAGCCACACGGGGACGGAGACACGGCCCAGACUCCUACGGGAGGCAGCAGUGGGGAAUUUUGGACAAUGGGCGAAAGCCUGAUCCAGCAAUGCCGCGUGUGUGAUGAAGGCCUUCGGGUUGUAAAGCACUUUUGGCGGGAACGAAAAGGACUGUGCCAAUACCACGGUUCGAUGACGGUACCCGCAGAAUAAGCACCGGCUAACUACGUG
Molecule: ribosomal RNA, 484 nt
Filed under: uncultured bacterium
Lineage: Bacteria
Description: partial 16S ribosomal RNA
Rfam family: Bacterial small subunit ribosomal RNA
Source: RNAcentral